CCGCGUGUGUGAAGAAGGCCUUCGGGUUGUAAAGCACUUUUGUCCGGAAAGAAAUGGCUCUGGUUAAUACCCGGAGUCGAUGACGGUACCGGAAGAAUAAGCACCGGCUAACUACGUGCCAGCAGCCGCGGUAAUACGUAGGGUGCGAGCGUUAAUCGGAAUUACUGGGCGUAAAGCGUGCGCAGGCGGUUUUGUAAGACAGGCGUGAAAUCCCCGGGCUCAACCUGGGAAUUGCGCUUGUGACUGCAAGGCUAGAGUGUGUCAGAGGGGGGUAGAAUUCCACGUGUAGCAGUGAAAUGCGUAGAGAUGUGGAGGAAUACCGAUGGCGAAGGCAGCCCCCUGGGACAUGACUGACGCUCAUGCACGAAAGCGUGGGGAGCAAACA
RNAcentral lists this ribosomal RNA (385 nucleotides) under Ralstonia sp. 3CB3E. RNAcentral's name for it is "bacterial SSU rRNA". It matches the Rfam family "Bacterial small subunit ribosomal RNA", at positions 397 to 774 of the family's 1533-position model. The record is from RNAcentral. Lineage: Bacteria; Pseudomonadati; Pseudomonadota; Betaproteobacteria; Burkholderiales; Burkholderiaceae.